RNAcentral lists this ribosomal RNA (780 nucleotides) under Kudoa hemiscylli. Its description in RNAcentral is "eukaryotic LSU rRNA". It matches the Rfam family "Eukaryotic large subunit ribosomal RNA", at positions 27 to 645 of the family's 3401-position model. The record is from RNAcentral. Lineage: Eukaryota; Metazoa; Cnidaria; Myxozoa; Multivalvulida; Kudoidae.
GCUGAACUUAAGCAUAUCAGUAAGCGGAGGAAAAGAAAACAACUGUGAUUCCCUUAGUAACUGCGAGUGAAGCGGGAUAAGCCCAUCGUUAAAUCUUCCUGGACUAUGGACAGGACGACGUGUAACGGUAUGGAUAGGUCUACUACUAACAAUAUCCAAUCAAAGUCCUCCGGAUUGAGGUGCCAUAGAGGGUGACAGCCCCGUAUGUGAUUGGAUAGAGUUGGGUAUGUAACCAAUUCCCAGAGUCGGGUUGUUUGGGACUGCAACCUAAAGUAGGUGGUAAACUCCACCCAAGGCUAAAUAUAGACACGAAACCGAUAGCGAACAAGUACUGUGAGGGAAAGUUGAAAAGAACUCUGAAAAGAGAGUUAAAAGUACGUGAAACCGCUAACGGGGAAGCGGAAAGCAGUGUCGAGAUCUUGUGUGUGAGUCCAAUCAAUUAUAUUUGCUAUGCAUCUAAUUGUGCAAGGGGGUAUGUAAUAUAUGAUUGAUUUGGCUAGCAUUACUUGAUGCGUCAGGUCUAUUGGUACCUAUUAUGAUACAAUUGUCUAUUAUUGGCUUAUAUGACACCUAACUACAUUUGUUUUUAGGCUCGUAUAGGCGGUAGUCAAUCAAUCAUAUGUACUGAUAUGUAUUGUAAUGAGACGUUGAUGAUUUUUUAUAUAAAGUCGGUUGGUGCUAUAUAUCACCUAUAUAUUGAUUACAUUGUAAUUAUAUAUAUAGAAUGUGUAGUGUUAUCCAAUAAUCAAUGUCAGUAUCUGACGAGAUACCCAACUUUCC